RNAcentral lists this long non-coding RNA (1537 nucleotides) under Lonchura striata (white-rumped munia). Its description in RNAcentral is "domestica (Bengalese finch) lncRNA (ENSLSDG00000003591.1)". The record is from RNAcentral. Lineage: Eukaryota; Metazoa; Chordata; Aves; Passeriformes; Estrildidae.
UCUCCUCGUAUUUCCGACCACGUUCCCCCUCACGUUUCCAGCCACUUUUCCCCUCAUGUUUUCUGCUUUUUCCUCCUCACAUUUCCCACCAUUUUCCCCCUCACAUUUUGCACUAUUCCCCUCAUGUUUCCAGCCACUUUUCCCCUCUCAUUUUCUGCUUUUUCCCCCUCACAUUUCCCACUCUUUUUCUCCUCACGUUUCUCGCUUUUUCUCCUCACAUUUCACACCAUUUUUUCCCCUCACGUUUUCUACCAUUUUUCCCCUCAUGUUUCCAGCCACUCUUCCCCUCACAUUUUCUGCUUUUUUUCCCUCAUAUUGUCUGCUUUUUUCCCCUCGCAUUUUCUGCUUUUUUCCCCCCCAAAUUUCCGCCUUUUUUCCCCCCAAAAUUCCCAACCUUUUUUUUCCCACAUUUCCCACCACUUUUUCCCUCACAUUUUCUACUUUUCCCCAUUUUUUCCCCCUCACGUUUCCCGCUCUUUUUCUCCUCACAUUUCCCACCGUUUUUCCCUCUCAUGUUUUCUACCACUUUUUCCCUCGUGUUUCCAGCCUUUCCACACUUUUCUCCUCACGUUUCCCAACCUUUUCUCCCCUCACGUUUCCCACCCUUUUUUCUCCUGUUUCCAUCUCUUUUUUCCUCACAUUUUCCAGCAUUUUUUCCUGUCAUGUUUUCUACCACUUUUCCCCUUGCAUUUUCCAUCCUUUUCCCCCCUCACGUUUCCCACCUUUUUCCCCUUGCAUUUCCCACCAUUUUUUCCCUCACAUUUUCCAUCCUCUUCCCCUCACAUUUUCCAUCUCUUUUUUCCUCACGUUUUCUACCACUUUUCCCCUCACAUUUUUCCAUCCUUUUCCCCUCACAUUUUCCAUCCUUUUCCCCUCACGUUUUCUACGACUUUUCCCCUCACGUUUUCCAUCCUUUUCCCCUCACAUUUUCCAUCCUUUUCCCCUCAUGUUUCCCGCCCUUUUCUCCCCUCACGGUUUCCCGCCCUUUUCUCCCCUCACGUUUUCUACCACUUUUCCCCUCACAUUUUUCCAUUCUUUUCCCCUCACGUUUUCCAUUCUUUUCCCCUCACAUUUCCCGCCCUUUUCCCCUCACGCUCCCCGCCAUCUUUCCCUCACAUUCCCCAGCACAAACCCCCCCCAAACCCAACUUUUCUCACCCCAAACCCACCGAACACCAAUAAAAACCCCUCCUCACACUCACCCUGCAGUUUGGCCGACAAUCUGACGACACCAACACAUCCAUCAGCACCCGCUCCAGGCUCCCCCAGCCCACGCGGGCGAGUCCUGAGGGCGCCCAGGGCAAUUCGGGGAGGGGGUCCCAGGGCGGAUUUUUUCCGGAUUUUUGGCGGUUUUGGGGUCCCACCGUGGUUGAUGAAGGCAGCCGGCCCCAGCCAGAGCUGGGUUUUCCUGCGGCGGGUGGAGUACAUGAGGCUGAAGUCGUUGUCGCCCGCCCGCAGCAGCGCCCGGUCCGAGCCCCGCAGCUCCACCCCGCAGCCGCCCAGCAGCUCCAGCGUCUCGUGCUUGCGCCUGGACACCC